GAUGAACGCUAGCGGCAGGCUUAAUACAUGCAAGUCGUGGGGCAGCAUGAAGUAGCAAUACUUUGAUGGCGACCGGCAAACGGGUGCGGAACACGUACACAACCUUCCUUUUAGUGGGGAAUAGCCCAGAGAAAUUUGGAUUAAUACCCCGUAACAUAGCGAUGUGGCAUCACAUUGCUAUUAUAGCUUCCGCUCUAGAUGAUGGGUGUGCGUAUGAUUAGAUAGUUGGCGAGGUAACGGCUCACCAAGUCUACGAUCAUUAGCUGAUGUGAGAGCAUGAUCAGCCACACGGGCACUGAGACACGGGCCCGACUCCUACGGGAGGCAGCAGUAAGGAAUAUUGGUCAAUGGACGAAAGUCUGAACCAGCCAUGCCGCGUGAAGGAUUAAGGUCCUCUGGAUUGUAAACUUCUUUUAUAUGGGACGAAAAAAGGUCUUUCUAGAUCACUUGACGGUACCAUAUGAAUAAGCACCGGCUAACUCCGUGCCAGCCGCCGCGGUAA
RNAcentral lists this ribosomal RNA (502 nucleotides) under uncultured bacterium. Its description in RNAcentral is "partial 16S ribosomal RNA". It matches the Rfam family "Bacterial small subunit ribosomal RNA", at positions 28 to 523 of the family's 1533-position model. The record is from RNAcentral.